RNAcentral lists this long non-coding RNA (750 nucleotides) under Patiria miniata (bat star). RNAcentral's name for it is "uncharacterized LOC119719974". Lineage: Eukaryota; Metazoa; Echinodermata; Asteroidea; Valvatida; Asterinidae. The record is from RNAcentral.
GUGCAUGCAUGAAACGUAACUUGAAUAGCGCCACCAUGCAUGCUAGCAGUACACUGAAGCAACAUGGCCGAACUGAAGUCUCUUCUUGAGAAGUCUGCGUGGUUCACCACAGAUUUGUACACGAAUCCCUUCAAAAGGCAAUUCAUAAAGAACGCAGUCCUCUUUGGUGUUGGUGUAUGGCUAGCGAGAGAGUUUGCUGACAUAGAUGUUGUCGGGCCGGCAGUCCCAUUGGCAUGAUACAAUGGAUGGACAGCUCCACGGCCAGUGUUGGCCACCAGAAUCAAGCCCCAGCUUUAUACGAGAAAUAUGCAUCAGAAUCAGUCGCAGGGCUCAUCCAGUCUAUCAACGCUAAUAACUGAACCAUAGCAGACCAGUGGGGGACCCUCUUCAGAGCACAUGGCAGUAUGGAGACUUUUGCUGCAUUUUACAAACCUCGGCUACACCCCAGCAGUAGCUUCGGGAGAUUUUUCAACCCCUGAUGACUUUGAAGGCUCCAGCUCAAUAUAGGUCCAUGUAUACAUUUUGUUCAGGAGCAUCAAACCUUUAUAACCCAAGUCCAAAGUUUAGAUGUAGAGCAUUUGUUUGCGUUUCUAUUUUAAAAGCUUCGAAAAUGAUUUUGGAGGUAGAGAUGAAGGCGAACGGGAGACAAAGUCAAAAUUUCGAAAAUGGCUUCGUGAAUUGACCUCAGAAAAGUAUCAGUUUGGAUUGUUAUUUAGAGUCGGAGGCAUGCAUUCUUGAACAGGAAAGUAA